RNAcentral lists this ribosomal RNA (714 nucleotides) under Streptomyces sp. Its description in RNAcentral is "bacterial SSU rRNA". It matches the Rfam family "Bacterial small subunit ribosomal RNA", at positions 54 to 785 of the family's 1533-position model. Lineage: Bacteria; Bacillati; Actinomycetota; Actinomycetes; Kitasatosporales; Streptomycetaceae. The record is from RNAcentral.
CAUGCAGUCGAACGAUGAACCUCCUUCGGGAGGGGAUUAGUGGCGAACGGGUGAGUAACACGUGGGCAAUCUGCCCUUCACUCUGGGACAAGCCCUGGAAACGGGGUCUAAUACCGGAUACGACUACCGACCGCAUGGUCUGGUGGUGGAAAGCUCCGGCGGUGAAGGAUGAGCCCGCGGCCUAUCAGCUUGUUGGUGGGGUGAUGGCCUACCAAGGCGACGACGGGUAGCCGGCCUGAGAGGGCGACCGGCCACACUGGGACUGAGACACGGCCCAGACUCCUACGGGAGGCAGCAGUGGGGAAUAUUGCACAAUGGGCGAAAGCCUGAUGCAGCGACGCCGCGUGAGGGAUGACGGCCUUCGGGUUGUAAACCUCUUUCAGCAGGGAAGAAGCGAGAGUGACGGUACCUGCAGAAGAAGCGCCGGCUAACUACGUGCCAGCAGCCGCGGUAAUACGUAGGGCGCAAGCGUUGUCCGGAAUUAUUGGGCGUAAAGAGCUCGUAGGCGGCUUGUCACGUCGGAUGUGAAAGCCCGGGGCUUAACCCCGGGUCUGCAUUCGAUACGGGCAGGCUAGAGUUCGGUAGGGGAGAUCGGAAUUCCUGGUGUAGCGGUGAAAUGCGCAGAUAUCAGGAGGACACCGGUGGCGAAGGCGAUCUCUGGGCCGAUACUGACGCUGAGGAGCGAAAGCGUGGGGAGCGAACAGGAUUAGAUAC